Molecule: ribosomal RNA, 2932 nt
Filed under: Escherichia coli
Lineage: Bacteria; Pseudomonadati; Pseudomonadota; Gammaproteobacteria; Enterobacterales; Enterobacteriaceae
Description: bacterial LSU rRNA
Rfam family: Bacterial large subunit ribosomal RNA
Source: RNAcentral
GGGUUGUGAGGUUAAGCGACUAAGCGUACACGGUGGAUGCCCUGGCAGUCAGAGGCGAUGAAGGACGUGCUAAUCUGCGAUAAGCGUCGGUAAGGUGAUAUGAACCGUUAUAACCGGCGAUUUCCGAAUGGGGAAACCCAGUGUGUUUCGACACACUAUCAUUAACUGAAUCCAUAGGUUAAUGAGGCGAACCGGGGGAACUGAAACAUCUAAGUACCCCGAGGAAAAGAAAUCAACCGAGAUUCCCCCAGUAGCGGCGAGCGAACGGGGAGCAGCCCAGAGCCUGAAUCAGUAUGUGUGUUAGUGGAAGCGUCUGGAAAGGCGCGCGAUACAGGGUGACAGCCCCGUACACAAAAAUGCACAUAUUGUGAGCUCGAUGAGUAGGGCGGGACACGUGGUAUCCUGUCUGAAUAUGGGGGGACCAUCCUCCAAGGCUAAAUACUCCUGACUGACCGAUAGUGAACCAGUACCGUGAGGGAAAGGCGAAAAGAACCCCGGCGAGGGGAGUGAAAAAGAACCUGAAACCGUGUACGUACAAGCAGUGGGAGCACGCUUAGGCGUGUGACUGCGUACCUUUUGUAUAAUGGGUCAGCGACUUAUAUUCUGUAGCAAGGUUAACCGAAUAGGGGAGCCGAAGGGAAACCGAGUCUUAACUGGGCGUUAAGUUGCAGGGUAUAGACCCGAAACCCGGUGAUCUAGCCAUGGGCAGGUUGAAGGUUGGGUAACACUAACUGGAGGACCGAACCGACUAAUGUUGAAAAAUUAGCGGAUGACUUGUGGCUGGGGGUGAAAGGCCAAUCAAACCGGGAGAUAGCUGGUUCUCCCCGAAAGCUAUUUAGGUAGCGCCUCGUGAAUUCAUCUCCGGGGGUAGAGCACUGUUUCGGCAAGGGGGUCAUCCCGACUUACCAACCCGAUGCAAACUGCGAAUACCGGAGAAUGUUAUCACGGGAGACACACGGCGGGUGCUAACGUCCGUCGUGAAGAGGGAAACAACCCAGACCGCCAGCUAAGGUCCCAAAGUCAUGGUUAAGUGGGAAACGAUGUGGGAAGGCCCAGACAGCCAGGAUGUUGGCUUAGAAGCAGCCAUCAUUUAAAGAAAGCGUAAUAGCUCACUGGUCGAGUCGGCCUGCGCGGAAGAUGUAACGGGGCUAAACCAUGCACCGAAGCUGCGGCAGCGACGCUUAUGCGUUGUUGGGUAGGGGAGCGUUCUGUAAGCCUGUGAAGGUGUGCUGUGAGGCAUGCUGGAGGUAUCAGAAGUGCGAAUGCUGACAUAAGUAACGAUAAAGCGGGUGAAAAGCCCGCUCGCCGGAAGACCAAGGGUUCCUGUCCAACGUUAAUCGGGGCAGGGUGAGUCGACCCCUAAGGCGAGGCCGAAAGGCGUAGUCGAUGGGAAACAGGUUAAUAUUCCUGUACUUGGUGUUACUGCGAAGGGGGACGGAGAAGGCUAUGUUGGCCGGGCGACGGUUGUCCCGGUUUAAGCGUGUAGGCUGGUUUUCCAGGCAAAUCCGGAAAAUCAAGGCUGAGGCGUGAUGACGAGGCACUACGGUGCUGAAGCAACAAAUGCCCUGCUUCCAGGAAAAGCCUCUAAGCAUCAGGUAACAUCAAAUCGUACCCCAAACCGACACAGGUGGUCAGGUAGAGAAUACCAAGGCGCUUGAGAGAACUCGGGUGAAGGAACUAGGCAAAAUGGUGCCGUAACUUCGGGAGAAGGCACGCUGAUAUGUAGGUGAAGUCCCUCGCGGAUGGAGCUGAAAUCAGUCGAAGAUACCAGCUGGCUGCAACUGUUUAUUAAAAACACAGCACUGUGCAAACACGAAAGUGGACGUAUACGGUGUGACGCCUGCCCGGUGCCGGAAGGUUAAUUGAUGGGGUUAGCCGCAAGGCGAAGCUCUUGAUCGAAGCCCCGGUAAACGGCGGCCGUAACUAUAACGGUCCUAAGGUAGCGAAAUUCCUUGUCGGGUAAGUUCCGACCUGCACGAAUGGCGUAAUGAUGGCCAGGCUGUCUCCACCCGAGACUCAGUGAAAUUGAACUCGCUGUGAAGAUGCAGUGUACCCGCGGCAAGACGGAAAGACCCCGUGAACCUUUACUAUAGCUUGACACUGAACAUUGAGCCUUGAUGUGUAGGAUAGGUGGGAGGCUUAGAAGUGUGGACGCCAGUCUGCAUGGAGCCGACCUUGAAAUACCACCCUUUAAUGUUUGAUGUUCUAACGUUGACCCGUAAUCCGGGUUGCGGACAGUGUCUGGUGGGUAGUUUGACUGGGGCGGUCUCCUCCUAAAGAGUAACGGAGGAGCACGAAGGUUGGCUAAUCCUGGUCGGACAUCAGGAGGUUAGUGCAAUGGCAUAAGCCAGCUUGACUGCGAGCGUGACGGCGCGAGCAGGUGCGAAAGCAGGUCAUAGUGAUCCGGUGGUUCUGAAUGGAAGGGCCAUCGCUCAACGGAUAAAAGGUACUCCGGGGAUAACAGGCUGAUACCGCCCAAGAGUUCAUAUCGACGGCGGUGUUUGGCACCUCGAUGUCGGCUCAUCACAUCCUGGGGCUGAAGUAGGUCCCAAGGGUAUGGCUGUUCGCCAUUUAAAGUGGUACGCGAGCUGGGUUUAGAACGUCGUGAGACAGUUCGGUCCCUAUCUGCCGUGGGCGCUGGAGAACUGAGGGGGGCUGCUCCUAGUACGAGAGGACCGGAGUGGACGCAUCACUGGUGUUCGGGUUGUCAUGCCAAUGGCACUGCCCGGUAGCUAAAUGCGGAAGAGAUAAGUGCUGAAAGCAUCUAAGCACGAAACUUGCCCCGAGAUGAGUUCUCCCUGACUCCUUGAGAGUCCUGAAGGAACGUUGAAGACGACGACGUUGAUAGGCCGGGUGUGUAAGCGCAGCGAUGCGUUGAGCUAACCGGUACUAAUGAACCGUGAGGCUUAACCUUACAACGCCGAAGGUGUUU